Molecule: long non-coding RNA, 409 nt
Organism: Mytilus californianus (California mussel)
Lineage: Eukaryota; Metazoa; Mollusca; Bivalvia; Mytilida; Mytilidae
Exons: 2
Source: RefSeq, a predicted model, not a curated record
AUUGCUCAGUGCUAAGUUUAUGUGUUUCAGUCUGUUUUUCUUAAAACUAUAAGCAAUAGGUCAGCUAUAUUUGUUGUAUGGAAGGAUUGUAAGCUGUUCAUGUCUGCCUGGCAUGGUUCAUCUGACCUUGACCUCAUUUUCACGAUUCAUUGGUCAAUGUUUAGUUUUCUUGGUUAAGUCUGUUUCUUAGAAACUAUAAACUAUAGGUCAACUAUAUUUAGUGUAUUGAAUGAUUGUUAGGUGUACAUGUAUUUCUCGUUUGGUUUAUAUGACCUUGACUUCAUUUUCUUGGAUCAUGUUAAGUUUAUGUAAUAGUUGUAGUAAAGCUUUCAUUUAGGACUAUCAACAUAAUAUCAAUGGUUAGUAAAGAAGGCGAGACAUUUCAGCGUGUGCACUCUUGUUUUAUCUA